CGCCUGUUUAUCAAAAACAUUUCCAUUAGCUUAAGAACGGUAAAGCCUGCUCAGUGCAAAAGUAAACAGUGUUUACUCUUAAAGUAGCAUAAUAAAUUGUUUUUUAAUUGAACUCUAGUAUGAAUGGCUUAAUACAAUUUUUAUUCUCUUUCUUCAUAAAAAGGAAAAUUAUAUUUUUAGUAAAAAUACUAAAAUAAAAUAAAGGGACGAGAAGACCCUUGAAUCUUUUGUCACCACAUUAGCUGGGGAAGCUAUUUUAAUAAAAAUUAAAUAUUUAUCUUUAUAAAUAUAAACAUAAUUAGAUACUCAAGGGAUAACAGCGUUAUAAUGUCACAGAGUACACAUCGAAAACAUUAAUUACGACCUCGAUGUUGAAUUAAGAUCACUUUUAUAGAGCAGUAUUUUAAAAAGAAGGAUUGUUCAUCCUUUAAAAUCUUACAUGAUCUGAGUUCAAACCGGAG
This 461-nucleotide ribosomal RNA is filed under the name Melita nitida. Its description in RNAcentral is "partial 16S ribosomal RNA". It matches the Rfam family "Bacterial large subunit ribosomal RNA", at positions 1797 to 2621 of the family's 2925-position model. Lineage: Eukaryota; Metazoa; Arthropoda; Malacostraca; Amphipoda; Melitidae. The record is from RNAcentral.